UAGAGUUGCAGUGGGUUUCCCUUUAUCAAUGUUGUCAGUGCUUCACUUCACUUAGCAGAUAUUCAUUAUGUUUCAGGUAAACGCUGCGUAGAGCUCAAGCCAUACCAUGAAGCAAAGCAAAAGACAGCUUGAGGCUUUUUAUAUAAGAUCUGUCUUACUGAAUAUUUUGGUUUCGGGUGACGCUGGCGUACACGCAUCCCAUAAGCAGGUUCAAAUCCUUGUGUUUCUGUGUCUGUGAAUCAACCGAGUGUAGCGUGGGCAUCCGCUCUUCCUGCAGGUUUGUGGCACCGUGGCACGGGGUCGAUGGCUUCCAGUGGAAAUCUCUGGGUUGCCUGUAAAUAGACAUUGGCGUCUAUCACGUUAGAGUGUGUUCAUCUGGACUAGUUUCUGGGUUCAGAUGCUGCUCGUUGACGAUAAAGCUGCUGCCUGCAGUGCUUGCGAGGAAGGAGUUUGCUGCCCUGUCUGUAAGCUGAGGGCGGUGUUAGGUGCUGGUUUGCUGUCCUCCUGCUCCCUGGAGGAGGUUGCAUUCCCAGUCCAUUGAAAUGGAGACAGGGGCGGUUCUCCUGUGUUUGUUUGUUUGGUUUUUUCCCCAGCGAAGAUUACAACAGAAACGUUUUAUCUAUAAAUCGGGGUUUGUGCAAGCGGUCUUAUAAGGUUAAUUAUGGUAUUAGAGUAAACGAAACGGCACCUGUUGUGUUCUGAUGGCAGCGUACAAAACACCAGGCUGUCCUUCCCUAUAAACCUUGUGAUAAACGAGCACCUCGACUUUUUAGUGCUUCCUGUUGGUUGUUGAUAACCUGUGAAAUAGUGUUUGUGGUGUGAGCCGGAUUAACCUGGAGGAAGGGUGACAAAUGGGUAAAGCACGCAGAGUCGGUGUUUCACCUUGCAUUCCUCAGCCAGGCAGUCGUAUUUUAAGGACUCCGCAGGUGUUACGAGCUUAUUCCCCACCGCCAGAGAACUGGUGAGACUACCACGCACUCAAACGUGGAUGCCGCAGAAGGCAAGCAAUUCCUGUGCUAAUUACAUCUUUAGAGCUAGCCAUAAGUGCAGUACGAGGUUACCUUUCUGCUCCGGUUUCACGUUUUAUCUUCACGAAGCCAACAAAAGAUCAGAAGCGCUCACUGCGAAUAGUUCUGCCCUGGCUUUUAGCGGCAGAGGAAACGUUAUUGCAUUUCGUUCCUGGUGACUUUGAAGCUGAAACAAGAAAGCCACCAAGAAAACAACAGAAAGCCACCACCCCGAUGAAGUCGCCUGGUCCUGGGAGCUGAGCAGCGCACGCAGCACUGACCACGAGGCAGGUUAAUGUCCAGUUAAUUUCUCUGAAGCCCCAAGAGCAGCCGUGCUGGUUCCCAGUGACUGCCAACCCCGAUGUCCUGUCUCUGAGGGGACCUUUCUGAAGCUGCCCUGCACCCAGUAGUAGGACCAGGAGGAAUCUGGUGCAGGUUUUAUUCGACCUGGCUUAUAGCACCAGGUCCACAUCUUUGUUUCAGUAGGAUUCGGGAUCAAAUAGUAUUCAAAAGGGCUGAAAAAAUGGUCAACCAUCAGAAAUAAGAGUUUCUUAAAUUGAAAUCUGGUGGAAAAAAGUUGUAUGGAAAUGAAGGCUUUUGAUGACUUGGCAAGUGCUUUCCCUUAAUUUAUCUUAUAGAAUGUGGCAACAAGUCAAGUAUGUAAAGAGGAAGGUAUAGAAGGCCAAAUAAGUCACAACAGACAUUUCGGCUACUCCGGCUGUUGGACUAGGAGCCGUUAUGCUGCGGUCCCAACCACCAAUUUAAUAAAUUGCAGACAAACUUA
Molecule: long non-coding RNA, 1791 nt
Organism: Cygnus olor (mute swan)
Lineage: Eukaryota; Metazoa; Chordata; Aves; Anseriformes; Anatidae
Exons: 2
Source: RefSeq, a predicted model, not a curated record